AUGGAUAUCAACCCAUCCAGCACAUGCUGGAACGUGUGAGGCCUUAACAACCCGGCGAAGAGAAAAGCGGUUAGAGAGUUUAUUUCCUCGGUGAAGUGCAACAUAGUGUGUUUGUAGGAGACUAAACUGGAUGUAAUGGACCAAUAUAUGAUGAUGCAAUGCAUUGGACCAUCGUACGAUGGAUUUGCUUAUUUCCCGGCGAUUAAUAUGUGUGGAGGUAUUGUGUUAGCGUGGGACUCCACGGUGCUCGAGGUGGACACCAUCUUCACGGAUGCACACUCACUAACCGGCCUUGUGCACAACAAGGAUGGCUUCAAAUGGUGGGUACCUGUUGUGUAUGGUCCUCAAGGAGAUGACCAGAAACUGGCUUUUUGCAUGAUUUACGUGAGCGUAGGGCAGGGUGCAUAG
This 408-nucleotide ribosomal RNA is filed under the name Triticum aestivum (bread wheat). RNAcentral describes it as "partial small subunit ribosomal RNA". The record is from RNAcentral. Lineage: Eukaryota; Viridiplantae; Streptophyta; Magnoliopsida; Poales; Poaceae.